This 395-nucleotide ribosomal RNA is filed under the name uncultured bacterium. RNAcentral describes it as "bacterial SSU rRNA". It matches the Rfam family "Bacterial small subunit ribosomal RNA", at positions 732 to 1126 of the family's 1533-position model. The record is from RNAcentral.
GGACGAGACUGACGCUCAGGUGCGAAAGCGUGGGGAGCAAACAGGAUUAGAUACCCUGGUAGUCCACGCCGUAAACGAUGUCGACUUGGAGGUUGUGCCCUUGAGGCGUGGCUUCCGGAGCUAACGCGUUAAGUCGACCGCCUGGGGAGUACGGCCGCAAGGUUAAAACUCAAAUGAAUUGACGGGGGCCCGCACAAGCGGUGGAGCAUGUGGUUUAAUUCGAUGCAACGCGAAGAACCUUACCUACUCUUGACAUCCAGAGAACUCUCCAGAGAUGGAUUGGUGCCUUCGGGAACUCUGAGACAGGUGCUGCAUGGCUGUCGUCAGCUCGUGUUGUGAAAUGUUGGGUUAAGUCCCGCAACGAGCGCAACCCUUAUCCUUUGUUGCCAGCGGUC